This 1369-nucleotide long non-coding RNA is filed under the name Felis catus (domestic cat). RNAcentral's name for it is "lncRNA (ENSFCAG00000041811.2)". Lineage: Eukaryota; Metazoa; Chordata; Mammalia; Carnivora; Felidae. The record is from RNAcentral.
CUCCUCUCGCUGCGGUUAACUAUACCCAAGGCUCUUUGGAAUAAAGGGCUCAUUCUGUUAAGGGGGUCUUGGAGCCAGGUUAGGAACUGCCUUAUGAAUCUUUGAAAGGUGUUGGGUUGUCGCGGUGAGGGGCUACAGGGUGGGAGUGCCGUGAGCACGUGUGUGUCUGUGCACGUGCAGGGCUGCAAAUGCAGACAGGCAGCUGGGGAAAAUGCAGGAACAACGAGAUCCAGAUGACCAGGGAGGAAGGAGGUUGGUGGAGGAAUCAGGAGGGGGAGGUCCUGCUGGCCGUUGUGGUUUGUGGCACCUGUGUCCUCUGGCUGGGCGUCGACUGUCAGUUCUCCCCUGGGCUCUGUCUUGGGCCCCUACUCUUCUGCCCUCGUACCUCUGCUUAUGCCAUCGCAUCCUCCCCGAGUCUUUGAUGAUUUGUCCCUCUCUGAUGGCCGCAGUACCACAGCUCCAGCCCACAUCUUCCACGUUUCAGGACUUUUCCAGGACAUUGCAGGCAAACGGAGCGACAUGUAGAACAGCAGAAGCAAGGAACUGCAGAACUCGUUAAUUCAAAUGCAACAUGGCGAGGUUCCAUAGCAGCCCACGUGGACGUUGUGAGGGUAAAAAAGGAGGAAAUGCAUUUUACAUACAUAAGGUACUACUAACAAGAAUAUGCGUUUAAAGUUCCUAGAUGCAUGCCCCAACAAUAACUGUGGUAUCUGCAUGGAUUUCAUUAGGGCUUUUCCUGCGAAGAGUGUAAAACUCUUAAAUAUAUCAUAAAAUAUUAUUGGCAGUGGUGUUAGGAGAGGAAAUUAGUCACCAAACAAAACAGACAAGAAAACCGUGAAACCUGACAAGGACAGUGUGUUGGAGUUAGGGGAUAUCCAACGGAGGGUGAGAUCAGCCUCACCCAAAGAAAGGUGAGAAUUUGCCUGACAGAUGGGAAUCCAAAGAGCGGGAGGAGAGGGAGCUCAUUCAGGUAGAUGGAACGACAUGUAUAACCAUGCGGGGGCAUGAAACGGGCCACAUUCUCUUUGAUCGGUAAUUAUGCCUAUACAUAGAAAAUUGCAUAGACCAUUCAAACAAGUUUGAGGUCUUGGUUUUCUCUCUCAGAGGGUUUAUAACGUAACUGAAUAGGUCAGGUGCAAGUAUGGGAAGAAGAUAUUGACAAUAUGUGAUGGAAGCCUGAUAACAUAAAUUUUGUCGGAUGAAUGAAUGAUGACAGGAUGUGCUGAAUGCCAAAUGGCUGAUGCCAACUGUGAGAUCUUCAAGGGGCACAGGGCAGGGGAUAUUCAUUUUUGGAUGGGUGCUAUGACCUGACUUCUUUUACCACUGUCAUCCUGCUGCCGGGUGGAAAAUAAAAUAUAAAAGGGAGGCA